Molecule: unclassified non-coding RNA, 416 nt
Filed under: soil metagenome
Description: partial contains 5.8S ribosomal RNA, internal transcribed spacer 2, and large subunit ribosomal RNA
Rfam family: 5.8S ribosomal RNA (bases 1-120)
Source: RNAcentral
GAUGAAGAACGUAGCGAAAUGCGAUAAGUAAUGUGAAUUGAAGAAUUCAGUGAAUCAUCGAAUCUUUGAACGCACCUUGCACUCCUUGGUAUUCCGAGGAGUACGCCUGUUCGAGUGUUAUGAAGCUCUCAAAACGCAAUUGGCUUAAAACCUGAUUGUUGUUUUGGAUUUGAACUUUGCCGUGUUAUAACGGCUGGUUUUAAAAGUAUUAGCUGGUACUAGAACGAAUUGGUUCUACUCAACGUGAUAAUUAUCUGAUCGUUGAGGACAUUCCUUUCACGAGGAAUGGCCAUAGUAAAUUCAAUGGACUGCUUCUAAUCUGGCUUUAAUUCUUUAUUGGAUUAACCACUUUUCAAAUCUGACCUCGAAUCAGGUGGGACUACCCGCUGAACUUAAGCAUAUCAAUAAGCGGAGGA